This 430-nucleotide ribosomal RNA is filed under the name uncultured organism. Its description in RNAcentral is "bacterial SSU rRNA". It matches the Rfam family "Bacterial small subunit ribosomal RNA", at positions 56 to 527 of the family's 1533-position model. The record is from RNAcentral.
UGCAGUCGUACGAGAGUUUUUACUCAAGUGGCGGACGGGUGAGUAACACGUGAGAAUCUGCCUUUAGGAGGGGGACAACAACUGGAAACGGUUGCUAAUACCCCAUAUGCUUUCGAGUGAAAUGAAUUUAUUCGCCUAAAGAGGAGCUCGCGGCUGAUUAGCUUGUUGGUAGAGUAAUAGCCUACCAAGGCGACGAUCAGUAUCUGGUUUGAGAGGACGAUCAGACACACUGGAACUGAGACACGGUCCAGACUCCUACGGGAGGCAGCAGUGGGGAAUUUUCCGCAAUGGGCGAAAGCCUGACGGAGCAAUACCGCGUGAGGGAAGACGGCCUAUGGGUUGUAAACCUCUUUUCUCAGGGAGGAAUUCAAUGACGUGUACCUGAGGAAUAAGCAUCGGCUAACUCCGUGCCAGCAGCCGCGGUAAUACG